RNAcentral lists this ribosomal RNA (709 nucleotides) under uncultured Pseudomonadota bacterium. RNAcentral's name for it is "bacterial SSU rRNA". It matches the Rfam family "Bacterial small subunit ribosomal RNA", at positions 53 to 751 of the family's 1533-position model. The record is from RNAcentral. Lineage: Bacteria; Pseudomonadati; Pseudomonadota.
ACAUGCAAGUCGAACGGUAACAGGAAGAAGCUUGCUUCUUUGCUGACGAGUGGCGGACGGGUGAGUAAUGUCUGGGAAACUGCCUGAUGGAGGGGGAUAACUACUGGAAACGGUAGCUAAUACCGCAUAACGUCGCAAGACCAAAGAGGGGGACCUUCGGGCCUCUUGCCAUCGGAUGUGCCCAGAUGGGAUUAGCUAGUAGGUGGGGUAACGGCUCACCUAGGCGACGAUCCCUAGCUGGUCUGAGAGGAUGACCAGCCACACUGGAACUGAGACACGGUCCAGACUCCUACGGGAGGCAGCAGUGGGGAAUAUUGCACAAUGGGCGCAAGCCUGAUGCAGCCAUGCCGCGUGUAUGAAGAAGGCCUUCGGGUUGUAAAGUACUUUCAGCGGGGAGGAAGGGAGUAAAGUUAAUACCUUUGCUCAUUGACGUUACCCGCAGAAGAAGCACCGGCUAACUCCGUGCCAGCAGCCGCGGUAAUACGGAGGGUGCAAGCGUUAAUCGGAAUUACUGGGCGUAAAGCGCACGCAGGCGGUUUGUUAAGUCAGAUGUGAAAUCCCCGGGCUCAACCUGGGAACUGCAUCUGAUACUGGCAAGCUUGAGUCUCGUAGAGGGGGGUAGAAUUCCAGGUGUAGCGGUGAAAUGCGUAGAGAUCUGGAGGAAUACCGGUGGCGAAGGCGGCCCCCUGGACGAAGACUGACGCUCAGG